GCUACACUGAGAGAUGCUUUGUUAUUUACUACUAUGUGUAUUGUUGGGCUACCGGUUAAUGUUUAUAUCAAAGAUGGUGGUGUUUAUUCGGGUAUUUUUCACACUGCUUGUGUAGAUGAUGAAUAUGCUAUUGUUUUGAAGAGGGCGAAGAUGAUUAAGAAGGGUAGUCGAGAGGCGAAUGUAGCACGUGGAAGUUUGAUAGAGACACUCGUAAUUCUGUCUGAAGAUCUUGUCCAAGUUGUCGCAAAGGGGGUUAUGCUAUCUGCUGAUUGUAUUCAAGGACAUUUAGAUGGGGAUAAUGCAAGAACUGUUUGUAGCAAUAUAACUUAUCCUGAAUACACCAAAAAGGAGAUGAAAGCAACAAAGUCCAAGGUG
RNAcentral lists this unclassified non-coding RNA (375 nucleotides) under Hevea brasiliensis (rubber tree). The record is from RNAcentral. Lineage: Eukaryota; Viridiplantae; Streptophyta; Magnoliopsida; Malpighiales; Euphorbiaceae.